This is a non-coding RNA of Triticum aestivum (bread wheat), 133 nucleotides long. Lineage: Eukaryota; Viridiplantae; Streptophyta; Magnoliopsida; Poales; Poaceae. The record is from Rfam.
AUAUUAAUCCCUCCGUCCGGAAAUACUUGUCAUCAAAAUGGAUAAAAGAAAAUGUAUUUAGACAUAUUUUAUUUCGAGAUACAUCUCUUUUUGUCCAUUUGGAUGACAAGUAUUUUCGGACGGAGGUUGUCUA